Long non-coding RNA from Capsicum annuum, 830 nucleotides. RefSeq lists it as uncharacterized. The transcript has 3 exons. The record is from RefSeq and is a predicted model, not a curated record. Lineage: Eukaryota; Viridiplantae; Streptophyta; Magnoliopsida; Solanales; Solanaceae.
AACAGAGAACAUAUAUAAAUUUUUAACUUUCUUAUUUCUUACACAUAAAAAAAUUGAUAGAAACCCAGAAUUUUUGAAAUUCAUUUUCUUUCAAAGCAAAAAAUUUCAAUUGAAAUACUGGUUUAAUUUGAAAAGAAAAAAAGGGUAAAAAUGAUAUAAGCAAUGCAAUAUGGAUGAUUCUUGUUUUCAUUCAAUCAUGAUACAACAUGGAGGAAGAUGGGAUACAACAGGCCAAUAUUGCUUGUUGAUGGAUCUGUUCUAAAAUCAUUAUACCGUGGGACAAUACUGAUUGCAUGCAUUUUGAAUUCGGAAGGUAAGAGCAUCAACUAAAUUCUUGCCUAUCAUGACUGAUGGAGCUAAACGAUUCAUAGUUUGUCUGCAAAAUAGUAAAUGUAGUUGUGGACGAUUUCAGUUAGAUGAGAUACCUUGUAGUCAUGUCAUGACUGCUAUUAAAUAUAGAAAUCAGCAUGGAGAGAACUAUUGCUCCUCGUACUACAACAACAAAAUUUUUUGAAAUUCAUAUGCAAUACCAGUUGAAACUCUUCCUUGUGAAAGUAUUUAAAAAAUACCACGUGAAGUGUUGGAUGGAAUUGUACUGCUGUCAAAUUCUAAAAGGCUACUAGGGAGAUCAGGUACUGAAAGAUGAAAAAACCAAGUGAAGAUAAAUGUAAGAGGUCCAGAGUCACUUGCAGUAGAUGUCAUAGAGAGGGGCACAAUCGAACAACAUGUCACAACUAUCCACCAGUAGUUUAUGAAAAUAUGCAAUUUAGUUCUUGAAGUUGUUUAGUAAAUAAGAGAUAUGUUAUUGAAUGAUAUUUUUUUAUAAAACA